Molecule: long non-coding RNA, 549 nt
Filed under: Crocodylus porosus (Australian saltwater crocodile)
Lineage: Eukaryota; Metazoa; Chordata; Crocodylia; Crocodylidae
Description: lncRNA (ENSCPRG00005016277.1)
Source: RNAcentral
UUUCAGCGUUGAUCUCAUGAGCUGAGUGCUCUUUUGUUUGCUCGACCACUCGGGAGUUUGAUAUUGCUGAGAUCUGGAUAUGAUUUUCCCACUCAGAGGGGACUUGACUGUUAUUUGGUUGUAAAUUUUGACCCUGCGGCACUUUGAGAUGAUACCAGAAGCCAAGUCCUUUAUUCUGUGUGCAGCUGAAGUGGUUUUGCAGUCAUUGUCACUGAAGCCCUCGUGUUCAGUUAGCAUUCGUUUGCAGAACAGUGGAUGCGAGGAUGUCAGCCCAGGUGUUGCCGGCUGCAGAACGUUUCUGGUAGCUGCAGUUUCCUUUGGAGACUGCAACAUGGUUCGGACUCGCCAGAUGGCACUGCGCAGAUGGUGCUGCGUGGGAGACGACGUAUCCAGGGACAUCUGCAUCCUUUUAGGCACAUUUUCUCUUCUUUGAUGUUCCCUGCAACUCCUGAGUUUGGGAGCUGCUCCAGAAGAGCUGGUAAAUCCCUGAGCUUUCCUGGUUUUUCUGUGGGCCUUUCUAUGAAACGGUGGCGUACCAAAGGACAAUGA